RNAcentral lists this transfer RNA (72 nucleotides) under Sphaerodactylus townsendi. RNAcentral's name for it is "tRNA-Ala". It matches the Rfam family "tRNA". Rfam says of the family: Transfer RNA (tRNA) molecules are approximately 80 nucleotides in length. Their secondary structure includes four short double-helical elements and three loops (D, anti-codon, and T loops). The record is from RNAcentral. Lineage: Eukaryota; Metazoa; Chordata; Lepidosauria; Squamata; Sphaerodactylidae.
GGGGCUUUGGGCCAGUGGUAGAGCAUCUGUUUGGCAUGUAGAAGGUCCCAAGUUCAAUCCCUGGUAUCUCCA